CCUACGGGUGGCAGCAGUAGGGAAUAUUGCUCAAUGGGGGAAACCCUGAAGCAGCAACGCCGCGUGGAGGAUGAAGGUUUUCGGAUUGUAAACUCCUUUUGUUAGAGAAGAUAAUGACGGUAUCUAACGAAUAAGCACCGGCUAACUCCGUGCCAGCAGCCGCGGUAAUACGGAGGGUGCAAGCGUUACGAGGAAUCAAUGGGCGUAAAGGGCGCGUAGGCGGGAUAGCAAGUCAGAUGUGAAAUCCUAUGGCUUAACCAUAGAACUGCAUUUGAAAAUGUUAUUCUAGAGUAUGGGAGAGGUAGGUGGAAUUCUUGGUGUAGGGGUAAAAUCCGUAGAGAUCAAGAGGAAUACUCAUUGCGAAGGCGACCUGCUAGAACAUAACUGACGCUGAUGCGCGAAAGCGUGGGGAGCAAACAGGAUUAGAUACCCGUGUAGUC
RNAcentral lists this ribosomal RNA (440 nucleotides) under uncultured bacterium. RNAcentral describes it as "partial 16S ribosomal RNA". It matches the Rfam family "Bacterial small subunit ribosomal RNA", at positions 338 to 795 of the family's 1533-position model. The record is from RNAcentral.